RNAcentral lists this transfer RNA (541 nucleotides) under uncultured Prochlorococcus sp. RNAcentral's name for it is "partial 16S-23S ribosomal RNA intergenic spacer". The stretch from base 212 to 284 matches the Rfam family "tRNA". The record is from RNAcentral. Lineage: Bacteria; Bacillati; Cyanobacteriota; Cyanophyceae; Synechococcales; Prochlorococcaceae.
CAGGGAGACAACAAAAUGUUUAAUAUUAUUAUUUUGUCACCUUAGGUCGAUCGGUAUCUCACGUUUUUAAUUUAUUAAGAAUUUCAUUUCCUAAGUUUUUCUAGGUCACACCCAUUAUUUUUCCUGGGCCAUUAGCUCAGGUGGUUAGAGCGCACCCCUGAUAAGGGUGAGGUCCCUGGUUCAAGUCCAGGAUGGCCCAUAUCUCUAUGUUGGGGGUAUAGCUCAGUUGGUAGAGCGCCUGCUUUGCAAGCAGGAUGUCAGCGGUUCGAGUCCGCUUACCUCCACUGAUUACCACCUCUUCCAUAUCCGGUAGACAGGAAAUUUUUUGAGUUGUGAUCAAAUUCUGAAAGAAUCUAGCUUCCUAAUGAAAUCAUUAAGACGCUGGACUCAUUGAAUUAAUUUCAUUGUUUUCAGAGAACCUUGACAACUGCAUAGAUUAUUUUUAAAGACAAUAAGCAUCUUUAAUGAUGCAGAUUUAUUAUUUGUGCGAAUGCAUUAAUAACAAUUCUAUUAAGCUGAUGCUUCAAUUUUUGAAGUUAUU